CCUACGAGGGGCAGCAGUGAGGAAUAUUGGUCAAUGGGCGCGAGCCUGAACCAGCCAAGUCGCGUGAAUGAUGACUGCCCUACGGGUUGUAAACUUCUUUUAUAAAGGAAUAAAGUGAGGCACGUGUGCCUUUUUGUAUGUACUUUAUGAAUAAGGAUCGGCUAACUCCGUGCCAGCAGCCGCGGUAAUACGGAGGAUCCGAGCGUUAUCCGGAUUUAUUGGGUUUAAAGGGAGCGUAGGUGGGUUGUUAAGUCAGUUGUGAAAGUUUGCGGCUCAACCGUAAAAUUGCAAUUGAUACUGGCAGUCUUGAGUACAGCUGAGGUAGGCGGAAUUCGUUGUGUAGCGGUGAAAUGCUUAGAUAUCACGAAGAACUCCGAUUGCGAAGGCAGCUUACUAAACUGCCACUGACAUUGAUGCUCGAAAGUGUGGGUAUCAAACAGGAUUAGAUACCCGGGUAGUC
Molecule: ribosomal RNA, 460 nt
Filed under: uncultured bacterium
Lineage: Bacteria
Description: partial 16S ribosomal RNA
Rfam family: Bacterial small subunit ribosomal RNA
Source: RNAcentral